This 1168-nucleotide ribosomal RNA is filed under the name Sanguibacter antarcticus. RNAcentral describes it as "bacterial SSU rRNA". It matches the Rfam family "Bacterial small subunit ribosomal RNA", at positions 56 to 1238 of the family's 1533-position model. The record is from RNAcentral. Lineage: Bacteria; Bacillati; Actinomycetota; Actinomycetes; Micrococcales; Sanguibacteraceae.
UGCAGUCGAACGGUGAUGGGGAGCUUGCUUCCCUGAUCAGUGGCGAACGGGUGAGUAACACGUGAGUAACCUGCCCUUGACUCUGGGAUAACUCCGGGAAACCGGGGCUAAUACUGGAUACGAAGCGCCUCGGCAUCGGGUGCGCUUGGAAAGUUUUUCGGUCAAGGAUGGACUCGCGGCCUAUCAGCUUGUUGGCGGGGUAACGGCCCACCAAGGCGUCGACGGGUAGCCGGCCUGAGAGGGCGACCGGCCACACUGGGACUGAGACACGGCCCAGACUCCUACGGGAGGCAGCAGUGGGGAAUAUUGCACAAUGGGCGAAAGCCUGAUGCAGCGACGCCGCGUGAGGGAUGAAGGCCUUCGGGUUGUAAACCUCUUUCAGUAGGGAAGAAGCGAAAGUGACGGUACCUGCAGAAGAAGCGCCGGCUAACUACGUGCCAGCAGCCGCGGUAAUACGUAGGGCGCAAGCGUUGUCCGGAAUUAUUGGGCGUAAAGAGCUCGUAGGCGGUUUGUCGCGUCUGGUGUGAAAACUCAAGGCUCAACCUUGAGCUUGCAUCGGGUACGGGGCAGACUAGAGUGCGGUAGGGGUGACUGGAAUUCCUGGUGUAGCGGUGGAAUGCGCAGAUAUCAGGAGGAACACCGAUGGCGAAGGCAGGUCACUGGGCCGCAACUGACGCUGAGGAGCGAAAGCAUGGGGAGCGAACAGGAUUAGAUACCCUGGUAGUCCAUGCCGUAAACGUUGGGCACUAGGUGUGGGGCUCAUUCCACGAGUUCCGUGCCGCAGCAAACGCAUUAAGUGCCCCGCCUGGGGAGUACGGCCGCAAGGCUAAAACUCAAAGGAAUUGACGGGGGCCCGCACAAGCGGCGGAGCAUGCGGAUUAAUUCGAUGCAACGCGAAGAACCUUACCAAGGCUUGACAUACACCGGAAUCGGCCAGAGAUGGUCGCGUCUUCGGACUGGUGUACAGGUGGUGCAUGGUUGUCGUCAGCUCGUGUCGUGAGAUGUUGGGUUAAGUCCCGCAACGAGCGCAACCCUCGUCCUAUGUUGCCAGCACGUUAUGGUGGGGACUCAUAGGAGACUGCCGGGGUCAACUCGGAGGAAGGUGGGGAUGACGUCAAAUCAUCAUGCCCCUUAUGUCUUGGGCUUCACGCAUGCUACAAUGGCCGGU